AUUGCUUCUCGGCCUUUUGGCUAAGAUCAAGUGUACUAUCUGUUCUUAUCAGUCUAAAUACAGGUUUACCUAUCUUAAUCUUUUAGGCUGAUUUUAUUCUAUUUUAAUAAAGCUGACAUGCCAUAUAGGCCACAUGUAGUAGAACAUCACUAUUAGGGUCUGGACCAAU
This 169-nucleotide small nuclear RNA is filed under the name Ochotona princeps (American pika). Its description in RNAcentral is "U2 spliceosomal RNA (ENSOPRG00000021671.1)". It matches the Rfam family "U2 spliceosomal RNA". Rfam says of the family: U2 is a small nuclear RNA (snRNA) component of the spliceosome (involved in pre-mRNA splicing). Complementary binding between U2 snRNA (in an area lying towards the 5' end but 3' to hairpin I) and the branchpoint sequence (BPS) of the intron results the bulging out of an unpaired adenosine, on the BPS, which initiates a nucleophilic attack at the intronic 5' splice site, thus starting the first of two transesterification reactions that mediate splicing. The record is from RNAcentral. Lineage: Eukaryota; Metazoa; Chordata; Mammalia; Lagomorpha; Ochotonidae.